This 485-nucleotide ribosomal RNA is filed under the name uncultured bacterium. RNAcentral describes it as "partial 16S ribosomal RNA". It matches the Rfam family "Bacterial small subunit ribosomal RNA", at positions 30 to 507 of the family's 1533-position model. The record is from RNAcentral.
UUGAACGCUGGCGGCAUGCCUUACACAUGCAAGUCGAACGGCAGCACGGGUGCUUGCACCUGGUGGCGAGUGGCGAACGGGUGAGUAAUACAUCGGAACAUGUCCUGUAGUGGGGGAUAGCCCGGCGAAAGCCGGAUUAAUACCGCAUACGAUCUACGGAUGAAAGCGGGGGACCUUCGGGCCUCGCGCUAUAGGGUUGGCCGAUGGCUGAUUAGCUAGUUGGUGGGGUAAAGGCCUACCAAGGCGACGAUCAGUAGCUGGUCUGAGAGGACGACCAGCCACACUGGGACUUAGACACGGCCCAGACUCCUACGGGAGGCAGCAGUGGGGAAUUUUGGACAAUGGGCGAAAGCCUGAUCCAGCAAUGCCGCGUGUGUGAAGAAGGCCUUCGGGUUGUAAAGCACUUUUGUCCGGAAAGAAAUCCUUGGCCCUAAUACGGUCGGGGGAUGACGGUACCGGAAGAAUAAGCACCGGCUAACUACGUG